GUGACGCCCCGCUGGCAGCGUCCCCUCGCCCAGCCCCCCCGUGGGCCGAGCCUGGCCCAGGUCCGGGACCGUAUCCGGCCUCUCCGCCGCCGCCACAUCCCGGCCCUGCGUGUCCCCAAGGCGUCUCCAAGGGGUCCCCGACGCUGCCACCACCUAUGGAGACCCCUGAGGCCACCGGGGCCAUCGUCCCCCCCGAGGUGUCCCCGGAGCUGCUGGAGCCGUUGGUGACUGUGGUGGCCAUCCUGGGCGAGCUGGGGGCCACGCCAGGGGACAUCCCCCUGGCCGGGUCACCGGGCUCGCUGCGGGCGAGGCUGGUGGCCCUCAUCGCCAACAUCCGCCGGGCCAUGGACCACCAUCACGGAGAUGCCACCCGCCUCCGUCCGCGCCCUGGCCACCGCCGGGGCCCACCAAGGCCACCGCUGGAGCCACCACCGUGGCCACCCUCGAGCCCGCUGUGGUCCCACCGGGGGAUUCCGCUGUCCCCAGGGCCACCGCAGGGGACGCCUGGGCCAUCGUGGCGACCAUCACCCCGCGAGUGGCGGGAGGCCGUGGCCUCGGUGGCGGCCACCUGGGCCACGGUAGCGGGGGACGCCGCGCACCUGAGGGACGCCUGUGGGACCGCGGCCACCACAGGGGCCACCACAGGGGCCACCGCCGGGGUCACCAUGGGCCACCUGGCAGCGGCGAUGGCCCAGGAGGACAGGGCACGCCAGCAGCUGCUGGCGGCCACCCGGGCGCUGCCGGUGGCCUCAGAGUUGGCUACGAUGGCCGAGGUGGUGACAGCCCACAAGACACGGGUGUCUGAGGCCAGCGCGGGGCUGCAGGCGGCCACCGAGGCCACCGAGAAGAUGGCGGCGGCAAUGGUGGAGACGGCGGUGGCUGGGGAGAGGGGACGGCUGGCGGCGGUGGCCCACAAGCCCCUGGGACGCUUGGUGGCCGCCUGUCACCAGGCCACCCUCUUCUACUGUCACCUGCGGCGCCGCCUCGAGGACAUCGAGGCCACCGUGGCUGCUAUGGCUGCUGGACACGGUGGCCCUGAGGCUCCCGGAGUGGCCCAGGAGGGUCCCGGUUUCCCCGGGUCCACCGUGACCGUGCAAGGAGGUCCUGGUGUCCCCGAGGACCUGAUGGCAGCGGUGGCGGCGGCCGAGGCGUUGUGGGACGCUAGCGCCCGCCUGGCCAAAUGCCACCUCUUGGGGACGCUGCGGGUGGCCCGGGGGCUGUUGGUCAACCCCAACGUCCCCGAGGCCACCACCGUGGCCCAGCGCUGCCGGGACGCCACCGCCGCCCUCCCGGGGCUGCUGCCGCGGGGACCGCGGUAGGGGACGGUGGCUUCGUUGGGGACCAGCGGCUUCGUUGGGGAGUACUGGCAUCAAUGUCACUGCUGCAGUCUUGGUUCCGUGUCACUUUGUCCCCAACUUGUG
RNAcentral lists this long non-coding RNA (1421 nucleotides) under Aquila chrysaetos chrysaetos. RNAcentral describes it as "lncRNA (ENSACCG00020016915.1)". The record is from RNAcentral. Lineage: Eukaryota; Metazoa; Chordata; Aves; Accipitriformes; Accipitridae.